GGGUUGUGAGGUUAAGCGACUAAGCGUACACGGUGGAUGCCCAGGCAGUCAGAGGCGAUGAAGGACGUGCUAAUCUGCGUAAAGCGACGGUAAGGUGAUAUGAACCGCUACAGCCGUCGAUGUCCGAAUGGGGAAACCCGGUGCACUCUGUGCAUCAUUGCAGCAUGAAUACAUAGUGCUGCAAGGCGAACCGGGGGAACUGAAACAUCUAAGUACCCCGAGGAAAAGAAAUCAACCGAGAUUCCCCCAGUAGCGGCGAGCGAACGGGGAGCAGCCCAGAGCCUGAAUCAGUUUGUGUGUUAGUGGAAGCGUCUGGAAAGUCGCAGGGUACAGGGUGAUACUCCCGUACACAAAA
This 355-nucleotide ribosomal RNA is filed under the name Mesorhizobium sp. RNAcentral's name for it is "partial 23S ribosomal RNA". It matches the Rfam family "Bacterial large subunit ribosomal RNA", at positions 1 to 384 of the family's 2925-position model. Lineage: Bacteria; Pseudomonadati; Pseudomonadota; Alphaproteobacteria; Hyphomicrobiales; Phyllobacteriaceae. The record is from RNAcentral.